GUAGGCAGCAAGCGUUGUUCGGAGUUACUGGGCGUAAAGAGUGCGUAGGCGGUGUCGAAAGUUUGGCGUGAAAUCUCCCGGCUUAACUGGGAGGGUGCGCCGAAAACUGCGAUGCUGGAGUGUGGGAAAGGCAAGCGGAAUUCCUGGUGUAGCGGUGAAAUGCGUAGAUAUCAGGAGGAACACCGGCGGUGUAGACGGCUUGCUAGACCAUAACUGACGCUGAGGCACGAAAGCGUGGGUAGCAAACAGGAUUAGAUACCCUGGUAGUCCACGCCCUAAACGAUGCAUACUUGGUGUGGGCAGUUCAUUCUGUCCGUGCCGGAGCUAACGCGUUAAGUAUGCCGCCUGGGGAGUACGGUCGCAAGGCUG
This 369-nucleotide ribosomal RNA is filed under the name uncultured bacterium. Its description in RNAcentral is "bacterial SSU rRNA". It matches the Rfam family "Bacterial small subunit ribosomal RNA", at positions 527 to 896 of the family's 1533-position model. The record is from RNAcentral.